GCAUUAAUGGGGUAGUGGUAACUUGGGUCGUUGCCAUCGACCCGUCGGGGGUUCGAUUCCCCGUUAAUGCA
Molecule: transfer RNA, 71 nt
Filed under: Ganoderma leucocontextum
Lineage: Eukaryota; Fungi; Basidiomycota; Agaricomycetes; Polyporales; Polyporaceae
Description: tRNA-Gly
Rfam family: tRNA
About the family: Transfer RNA (tRNA) molecules are approximately 80 nucleotides in length.
Source: RNAcentral